Molecule: long non-coding RNA, 1769 nt
Filed under: Sus scrofa (pig)
Lineage: Eukaryota; Metazoa; Chordata; Mammalia; Artiodactyla; Suidae
Description: lncRNA (ENSSSCG00040038265.1)
Source: RNAcentral
AUACUUGAGCAAGAAAUAGGGAUCAUUCUAAUACAAACUAUUUCAGGAUAACCAAAUAGAAGAUGAGGAAAAAUUCUUCCUGUAUAAAUAUUCUAAGUGAAGAUGCAGAAGUAGUGACAAGAUACUAACGUUUUACUUCCUCUUAUAGCAGCAGACCUGCAGAAUGAUUGUCAGUGAUAGCUGAAGCCAGCAGAUGACAGGCUGUGGAAGAAUUGGUAUUAGGAGACACUAACAUACAUGGAUCCACUCAUCAAAGGCCAUGUCAUAGGGAGUUCCUGCUGUGGCGCAGUGGAAACGAGAAUGCGGCUUCAGUCCCCGACCUCGCUCAGUGGUUAGGGAUCCCACAUUCCUGUGAGCUCUGGUGUAGGUUGCAGAUGCAGCCUGGAUCCCACAUUGCUGUGGCCGUGGCAUAGGCUGGCUGCUGUAGCUUUCAUUCCAGGCCUAUCCUGGGAACGUCCAUAUGCCUCAGGUGAGGUUCUAAAUGAAGAAAACAAAAACCAAAAAAACUUCAUGUCAUGUAAAGGGCUACAGCCUCUAAUAAUGGCAGGUUCUAAAUGAAGAAAACAAAAACCAAAAAAACUUCAUGUCGUGUAAAGGGCUACAGCCUCUAAUAAUGGCACCCAGUUGUAAGAAAUGACAACGGGGCCUCACAACCUCUGGGGUUUCCUAGACAAAAAACUGUACCUGGACUAUAUUGUUCUUUAAAGCUGAUGAUGCUCUGCUUCCCAAUUUGGGGGCACAGGUGAGGAAACAUUAAAAAGGGCGCAGUUAGGCAUUCCUUCGUGGCACAGUGGGUUAGGAAUCUGGUGUCACUGCAGUAGCUUGGGUUGCUGCUGUGGCUGGGGUUCAAUUCCUGGCUCAGGAACUUCAAAAUGCCUUGGGGCAUCAAAAAAUAAUUAAAGAGCACAGUUAGCUGGUAGAAUGAUGGAAACAGUCCUAAACAAAUGAUCUAUUUUCUGCUUUACACAAACAAGCAACGUCAAAAGUUUGGAAGAGAUUUUUUUUUUUUUCUUUUAGUCUUUUCUAGGGCUGCACCCGAGCCUGGGAACCUCCAUAUGCCAUGGGUGCGGCCCUUAAAAUUGGAAAAAAAAAAGUUAUAAAUCUUUAAAAAUAUAUAUUUCUUAGAGUUCCUGUUGUGGCUCAGUGGUAUCAAGCCUGACCAAGAUCCAUGAGGAUAUGGGUUUGAUCCCUGGACUUGCUGAGUGGGUUAAGGAUCCAUCGUUGCCAUGAGCUGUGGUGUAGAUCAUAGACAUGGCUUGGAUCUUGUGUGGCUGUGGCUGUGGUAGAGGCCAGGAGCUGUAGCGCCAGUUUGACCCCUACCUGGUAACUUACAUAUGCCCCAGGUACAGCCCUAAAAAAAAAGUAUACACACACACACACACACAUAUAUAUAUUUCUCUCCAGAACAUUGGAAAAGCAUGGCUCCUGUCCAUGUAUUUAAUGUUAUUAUUUUUGUAGGUAUGUAACACAUAUGCCUUUUCAUUAGUAAGUUCCAUUUAGAGCAAAGCAUUUCACCCUCCAUGUCUCGUAUUCUGCGUCUGAAGGUUCAAAAGACUAGGUCAAAAUAUUCAUGGAAUUCCCACGGUGGCACAGCAGUUUAAGAUCUGAUGUCUCUGUGGCAGCAAGGGUUUGAUCCCCAGCUCAGUGCAUUGGGCUGAGGAUUCAGAAUUGUAGCUGUGGUGUGUUGCAGCUGGGGCUAGGAUUCCAUCCCUAACCCAAGAACUUCCUUAUUCCACAGGUAUGGCCAAAAUUAAAAAAAAAAAAAAAAA